ACCAGAUAAUAGAGAGGACCUAAUAGGUGACAGUUGUUAAAUGCGGGGGAUCGCAAGACCUCGCUGUCUGGAGAGGAGCCUGCGGCGGAUUAGCUUGUUGGUGAGGUAAUGGCUCACCAAGGCGAUGAUCCGUAGCCGGCCUGAGAGGGCGGUCGGCCACGACUGACACUGACAUACGGGUCAGACUCCUACGGGAAGCAGCAGUCGGGAAUUUUGGGCAAUGGGCGAAAGCCUGACCCAGCAACGCCGCGUGAAGGAUGAAAUCCCUCGGGAUGUAAACUUCCGCAAGAAUGGGAAGAAUUAGUAGGGGUUAAAUACCCCCUAUGAUGACGGUACCAUUUUGUUAAGCUCCGGUUAACUCCGUGCCAGCAGGCCGCGGUAAUACGGGGGGGGAGCAAGCCGUUGUUCGGGAUUUACUUGGGCGUAAAAGGGCGCGUAG
RNAcentral lists this ribosomal RNA (439 nucleotides) under uncultured bacterium. Its description in RNAcentral is "bacterial SSU rRNA". It matches the Rfam family "Bacterial small subunit ribosomal RNA", at positions 168 to 574 of the family's 1533-position model. The record is from RNAcentral.